Molecule: ribosomal RNA, 448 nt
Filed under: uncultured bacterium
Lineage: Bacteria
Description: bacterial SSU rRNA
Rfam family: Bacterial small subunit ribosomal RNA
Source: RNAcentral
ACGAACGCUGGCGGCAGGCCUAACACAUGCAAGUCGAACGCCCCGCAAGGGGAGUGGCAGACGGGUGAGUAACGCGUGGGAACGUGCCCUUCGGUUCGGAAUAACUCAGGGAAACUUGAGCUAAUACCGGAUACGUCCGUAAGGAGAAAGAUUUAUCGCCGAAGGAUCGGCCCGCGUCGGAUUAGCUAGUUGGUGAGGUAACGGCCCACCAAGGCGACGAUCCGUAGCUGGUCUGAGAGGAUGAUCAGCCACACUGGGACUGAGACACGGCCCAGACUCCUACGGGAGGCAGCAGUGGGGAAUAUUGGACAAUGGGCGAAAGCCUGAUCCAGCCAUGCCGCGUGAGUGAAGAAGGCCUUAGGGUUGUAAAGCUCUUUCAGCGGGGAAGAUAAUGACGGUACCCGCAGAAGAAGCCCCGGCUAACUUCGUGCCAGCCGCCGCGGUAAUU